Molecule: long non-coding RNA, 1197 nt
Organism: Tupaia belangeri chinensis (Chinese tree shrew)
Lineage: Eukaryota; Metazoa; Chordata; Mammalia; Scandentia; Tupaiidae
Exons: 2
Source: RefSeq, a predicted model, not a curated record
GAGGGAGACAUGGAGAAGAAUGGAUUGUGGUGUGGCCAUGCCCAUUUGGGGUGUGAUUUCUGCACCCUCCCACUCCUGUUGCCAUCUAGCAACAUUAAAAAAAAAACAAUGUCUCUAAACUAUCUUUACUCUGAGAACGUCUGCACAGGAGAGUUACUUUGAGUAUUGCCAGGGAAAACUUUGCUGGAUGUCACAAGUUCAUGGUCAGCCUUUUGGGCAGAAGAAUUUUCAAAUUUCCAUAAAGCAUAAAUGGUUUUGAAUAUUCAUACAACCAAUGGGGAGAAUGAGGGAGAUUACAGUGAUAGGAAAAUGGUCACUAUUUGAAAUUUGUUCUCAGUUAGUGAGUUGCUAUGAGAAAACAUUUUUAAAUUGCUGUUUGGAAAGGUUAAAAAUGAAACUAUGAGUGUUCUCGAAGAUGUAUAAUUAUGUUAAUCUUAAGAAAAUAGGAGAACUUUUAGCAGAAUUUGAAUGCUCCUACCACUGUAUUUUAUAAACGAAGAUAUUCAUCUGUGGAUUCAGCCAAUUCUGUUGUCAGUUGGCUUACAUUUUGCAUAUUUGUGCUUAGACCUUUCAAUGACUUUUCACUGCCAUGAAGAUGCCAUGGAGACCACCCUGAUGACUUCCAAUAUCAUCCUUCGCCACUCCUACCCACUCACGAUGUCCCAGCAAGGCUGAGCUGCCCUGAAGGGCUGUCGGUUCUUCAGACCUGGCCCUCUCUCACCUCUCAUGGUGUUCCCUGUGCUCAAGCAUUCUCCACCUCCUGUGCUUGAUGAACUUCUACUCGUCUUUCAGGUUACAACUUACAUGUUUCUUCCUCUCAUCUGUGGACUAUGCACAGGUUUAGGACCCUGUCAGAUGUUCCCAUAGCACACUGGGCUGUCUUGUCAUAAUACUCAUGCUUUGCUCUAAUUGCUAACUGGUCCUUCCUGCUAAUUCCUUGAUGCAGAGACCACUUCUCAUUACUCAUUAUAGCAGAUGACUCCAUAAGAGGGACUCAGUAAACAUUUGCAGAAUAAAUAAAUAUAUGAAACAGUAUUUCUAUGGCAAAUUUGGUUCAGAAGGUUUGGAUUCCAUAUGCCGAACUGGUCAAUAUUUUUAUAUUCUUCCACCUGUGACCAAACUGUAAAGCCAUUCUUGAAGUCGGGCAUGGUGGCAUAUACCUGUAAUCCCAGCCUGGACGAGUGAGACCCUGUUUAA